This is a non-coding RNA of Vicia faba (fava bean), 201 nucleotides long. The record is from the annotation of a GenBank genome assembly. Lineage: Eukaryota; Viridiplantae; Streptophyta; Magnoliopsida; Fabales; Fabaceae.
AUGGUCUUUACCUUUGACUCCAUGCUCGUGACGUUGAACCUUUCGACUUUGUUUAUAACCUUGCUUGUGGUUGUUGCAUAUCCAUGCCUUCAUGCAUCCAUAAAACCCUUUUCACUCGAUUUUCAAGGAAUUUGGAAGUCUUUCUUUGUAAACAUCACAAGUUUCGUUAAGCUCAAUGGAUCUUGGGUGUUGAUGGGGUGA